AUGCAAAAUGCAUUGUUGAAGCUAUGGGCAAUGGUUGAAGAUAGCAAGAGUGCUAGGGUGAAUGAUAAUCUUGAAAGUUCUUUCACUAUCCACCAUCUGACAGAAGAGAAGAACAAGCUGGAGGCCAACUAUGACAAGCUAGUCCAAGAUGUGCAUGAGCUUAUGAGCUUCCAGGAGGAGAGGGUGAAGUGA
RNAcentral lists this ribosomal RNA (192 nucleotides) under Triticum aestivum (bread wheat). RNAcentral's name for it is "partial small subunit ribosomal RNA". The record is from RNAcentral. Lineage: Eukaryota; Viridiplantae; Streptophyta; Magnoliopsida; Poales; Poaceae.